ACUCCGUACCCCGACUAGUUCCUGGUUUGUUCUCACCUCCUGAGAAAAAUGGAACAAAAAGGAAAAGGGUGAGCUCAACUAGCCCAGUAAAGAAUAUUAUGACUAAGAUAAUAUACAACAAAUUAUCGUUAGUCUUCAACAGGGAAAAAUCUGAUAAAAUAUAAUAGCCAACAAGUUUUAGAUCAACAACUACAGCGGAAACAGCAAUCCAUUAG
RNAcentral lists this long non-coding RNA (215 nucleotides) under Panax ginseng (ginseng). RNAcentral describes it as "long non-coding RNA (PGIN_LNC016247)". Lineage: Eukaryota; Viridiplantae; Streptophyta; Magnoliopsida; Apiales; Araliaceae. The record is from RNAcentral.